GACGAACGCUGGCGGCGUGCCUAAUACAUGCAAGUUGAGCGCUGAAGGUUGGUACUUGUACCAACUGGAUGAGCAGCGAACGGGUGAGUAACGCGUGGGGAAUCUGCCUUUGAGCGGGGGACAACAUUUGGAAACGAAUGCUAAUACGGAAUAAAAACUUUAAACACAAGUUUUAGGUUUGAAAGAUGAAAUUGCAUCAAUAAAAGAUGAUCCCGCGUUGUAUUAGCUAGUUGGUGAGGUAAAGGCUCACCAAGGCGAUGAUACAUAGCCGACCUGAGAGGGUGAUCGGCCACCUUGGGACUGAGACACGGCCCAAACUCCUACGGGAGGCAGCAGUAGGGAAUCUUCGGCAAUGGACGAAAGUCUGACCGAGCAACGCCGCGUGAGUGAAGAAGGUUUUCGGAUCGUAAAACUCUGUUGGUAGAGAAGAACGUUGGUGAGAGUGGAAAGCUCAUCAAGUGACGGUAACUACCCAGAAAGGGACGGCUAACUACGUG
Molecule: ribosomal RNA, 497 nt
Filed under: uncultured bacterium
Lineage: Bacteria
Description: partial 16S ribosomal RNA
Rfam family: Bacterial small subunit ribosomal RNA
Source: RNAcentral